GGGUUUGGCUACUUGCGCAUGGGCGAAGCCUGAGCAGCAACGCCGCGUGAGGGAUGACGGCCUCUCGGGUUGUAAACCUCCCUCAGCUCCGACGAAGCGGAUGUGACGGUAGGAGCAGAAGAAGCACCGGCCAACUACGUGCCAGCAGCCGCGGUAAUACGUAGGGUGCAAGCGUUGUCCGGAAUUAUUGGGCGUAAAGAGCUCGUAGGCGGUCUGUCGCGUCGGCUGUGAAAACUCGGGGCUCAUCUUCCGAGCUUUGCAGUCGAUACGGGCAGGCUAGAGUUUCGGCAGGGGAGACUGGACUUCCUUGGUGUAGCGUUGAAAUGCGCAGAUAUCAGGAGGAACACCGGUGGCGAAGGCGGGUCUCUGGGCCGAUACUUGACGCUGAGGAGCGAAAGCGUGGGGAGCGAACAGGAUUAGAUACCCUGGUAGUCCACGCCGUAAACGUUGGGCGCUUAGGUGUAGGAUCCUUUCCCGGGUUCCUGUGCCGCAGCUUAACGCACUAAGCGCCCCGCCUGGGG
Molecule: ribosomal RNA, 521 nt
Filed under: uncultured bacterium
Lineage: Bacteria
Description: bacterial SSU rRNA
Rfam family: Bacterial small subunit ribosomal RNA
Source: RNAcentral